This 439-nucleotide ribosomal RNA is filed under the name uncultured bacterium. Its description in RNAcentral is "partial 16S ribosomal RNA". It matches the Rfam family "Bacterial small subunit ribosomal RNA", at positions 338 to 795 of the family's 1533-position model. The record is from RNAcentral.
CCUACGGGAGGCAGCAGUGGGGAAUAUUGCACAAUGGGGGAAACCCUGAUGCAGCGACGCCGCGGGAGUGAAGAAGGAUUUCGGUAUGUACAGCUCUAUCAGCAGGGAAGAGAAUGACGGUACCUGAGUAAGAAGCCCCGGCUAACUACGUGCCAGCAGCCGCGGUAAUACGGAGGAUGCGAGCGUUAUCAGGAUUUAUUGGGUUUAAAGGGUGCGUAGGCGGAAUGUUAAGUCAGCGGUAAAAGCCCGGAGCUCAACCCCGGCGAGCCGUUGAACCUGGCUGUCUUGAGAUGUCGAGAGGUAUGCUGAAGGCGCAGUGUAGCGGUGAAAUGCUUAGAUAUUGCGCAGAACUCCGAUUGCGAAGGCAGCAUACCGGCGGCGAUCUGACGCUGAGGCACGAAAGCGUGGGUAUCGAACAGGAUUAGAUACCCGGGUAGUC